GACGAACGCUGGCGGCGUGCUUAACACAUGCAAGUCGAACGGAAGGGCCCUGCUUUUGUGGGGUGCUCGAGUGGCGAACGGGUGAGUAACACGUGAGUAACGUGCCCUUGACUUUGGGAUAACUUCAGGAAACUGGGGCUAAUACCGGAUAGGAGCUCCUGCUGCAUGGUGGGGGUUGGAAAGUUUCGGCGGUUGGGGAUGGACUCGCGGCUUAUCAGCUUGUUGGUGGGGUAGUGGCUUACCAAGGCUUUGACGGGUAGCCGGCCUGAGAGGGUGACCGGCCACAUUGGGACUGAGAUACGGCCCAGACUCCUACGGGAGGCAGCAGUGGGGAAUAUUGCACAAUGGGCGGAAGCCUGAUGCAGCAACGCCGCGUGCGGGAUGACGGCCUUCGGGUUGUAAACCGCUUUCGCCUGUGACGAAGCGUGAGUGACGGUAAUGGGUAAAGAAGCACCGGCUAACUACGUG
RNAcentral lists this ribosomal RNA (468 nucleotides) under uncultured bacterium. Its description in RNAcentral is "partial 16S ribosomal RNA". It matches the Rfam family "Bacterial small subunit ribosomal RNA", at positions 28 to 507 of the family's 1533-position model. The record is from RNAcentral.